UGAAGAAUUUAUCCAACGGCGGGGGAUAGCCGGCCCAACGGCCGGGUAAUACCGCGUACGACCCUCGGGGGGCAUCCCCUGAAGGUGAAAGCCGCAAGGCGCCGAUGGAGAACUUCGCGGCCUAUCAGCUUGUUGGUGAGGUCAUGGCUCACCAAGGCGACGACGGGUAGCUGGUCCGAGAGGAUGACCAGCCACAUUGGGACUGAGACACGGCCCAGACUCCGUACGGGAGGCAG
This 236-nucleotide ribosomal RNA is filed under the name uncultured bacterium. Its description in RNAcentral is "partial 16S ribosomal RNA". It matches the Rfam family "Bacterial small subunit ribosomal RNA", at positions 118 to 351 of the family's 1533-position model. The record is from RNAcentral.